RNAcentral lists this ribosomal RNA (532 nucleotides) under uncultured archaeon. RNAcentral describes it as "bacterial SSU rRNA". It matches the Rfam family "Archaeal small subunit ribosomal RNA", at positions 1 to 534 of the family's 1478-position model. The record is from RNAcentral.
AUUCGGUUGAUCCUGCCGGAGGUCAUUGCUAUUGGAGUCCGAUUUAGCCAUGCUAGUCGUACGAAUUUAGAUUCGUGGCGGAUAGCUCAGUAACACGUGGCCAAACUACCCUGUCGAGCCCGAUAACCUCGGGAAACUGAGGCUAAUAGCGCAUACGGCUCUAUGCCUGGAACUGGCUCGAGCUCGAAAUGCUCAGGCGCGACAGGAUGUGGCUGCGGCCGAUUAGGUUGGCGGUGGGGUAACGGCCCACCGUGCCAAUAAUCGGUACGGGUUGUGAGAGCAAGAGCCCGGAGACGGAAUCUGAGACAAGAUUCCGGGCCCUACGGGGCGCAGCAGGCGCGAAACCUUUACACUGCACGACAGUGCGAUAGGGGGACUCCAAGUGCGAGGGCAUAUAGUCCUCGCUUUUUCCUACCGUAAGGUGGUAGGCGAAUAAGGGCUGGGCAAGACCGGUGCCAGCCGCCGCGGUAAUACCGGCAGCCCAAGUGAUGACCGCUAUUAUUGGGCCUAAAGCGUCCGUAGCUACUUUCCC